This 69-nucleotide transfer RNA is filed under the name Aphrophora sp. EMHAU-15062701. Its description in RNAcentral is "tRNA-Asn". The record is from RNAcentral. Lineage: Eukaryota; Metazoa; Arthropoda; Insecta; Hemiptera; Aphrophoridae.
UUAGUAAAAGCCAAAAUAGAGGCAAUUUAUUGUUAAUAAAUUUAUUGGAUUUUCUUUUUCCUUACUAAG